This 520-nucleotide unclassified non-coding RNA is filed under the name uncultured Glomus. Its description in RNAcentral is "SSU rRNA". It matches the Rfam family "Eukaryotic small subunit ribosomal RNA", at positions 569 to 1093 of the family's 1831-position model. Lineage: Eukaryota; Fungi; Glomeromycota; Glomeromycetes; Glomerales; Glomeraceae. The record is from RNAcentral.
AACAGCCGCGGUAAUUCCAGCUCCAAUAGCGUAUAUUAAAGUUGUUGCAGUUAAAAAGCUCGUAGUUGAAUUUCGGGAUUAAUAUGUUGGUCGUGCCUUGGUACGUACUGGCAUUAUUGAUUCCUACCUUCUGAAGAACCUCGAUGUCAUUAAUUUGGUGUCUUGGGAAAUCAGGACCGUUACUUUGAAAAAUUAGAGUGUUUAAAGCAGGCUCGCGCUUGAAUACAUUAGCAUGGAAUAAUGAAAUAGGACGUUUGAUUCUAUUUUGUUGGUUUCUAGGAUCGACGUAAUGAUUAAUAGGGAUAGUUGGGGGCAUUAGUAUUCAAUUGUCAGAGGUGAAAUUCUUGGAUUUAUUGAAGACUGACUACUGCGAAAGCAUUUGCCAAGGAUGUUUUCAUUAAUCAAGAACGAAAGUUAGGGGAUCGAAGACGAUCAGAUACCGUCGUAGUCUUAACCAUAAACUAUGCCGACUAGGGAUCGGAUGAUGUUAAUUUUUAAUGACUCAUUCGGCGCCUUAACC